GUUGUGGCUCAGUGGUACAGCACUUGCCUCACAAGUGUGAGUCACUGGGUUCAAUCCCCAGCACAACA
This 68-nucleotide transfer RNA is filed under the name Ictidomys tridecemlineatus (thirteen-lined ground squirrel). RNAcentral describes it as "Spermophilus tridecemlineatus (thirteen-lined ground squirrel) tRNA". It matches the Rfam family "tRNA". From Rfam's summary of the family: Transfer RNA (tRNA) molecules are approximately 80 nucleotides in length. Lineage: Eukaryota; Metazoa; Chordata; Mammalia; Rodentia; Sciuridae. The record is from Rfam by way of RNAcentral.